CCUACGGGGGACAGCAGUGGGGAAUAUUGGGCAAUGGGCGCAAGCCUGACCCAGCAACGCCGCGUGAAGGAAGAAGGCUUUCGGGUUGUAAACUUCUUUUCUCAGGGACGAAGCAAGUGACGGUACCUGAGGAAUAAGCCACGGCUAACUACGUGCCAGCAGCCGCUGGAAUACGUAGGUGGCAAGCGUUAUCCGGAUUUACUGGGUGUAAAGGGCGUGUAGGCGGGAAAGCAAGUAAGAUGUGAAAACCAUGGGCUCAACCUGUGGCCUGCAUUUGAAACUGUUUUUCUUGAGUACUGGAGAGGCAGACGGAAUUCCUAGGGUAGCGGUGGAAUGCGUAGAUAUUAGGAGGAACACCAGUGGCGAAGGCGAUUUGCUGGACUGUAACUGACACUGAGGCACGAAAGCGUGGGGAGCAAACAGGAUUAGAUACCCGGGUAGUC
RNAcentral lists this ribosomal RNA (443 nucleotides) under uncultured bacterium. RNAcentral describes it as "partial 16S ribosomal RNA". It matches the Rfam family "Bacterial small subunit ribosomal RNA", at positions 338 to 795 of the family's 1533-position model. The record is from RNAcentral.